RNAcentral lists this transfer RNA (88 nucleotides) under Candidatus Doudnaibacteriota bacterium. RNAcentral describes it as "Candidatus Doudnabacteria bacterium tRNA-Ser". It matches the Rfam family "tRNA". From Rfam's summary of the family: Transfer RNA (tRNA) molecules are approximately 80 nucleotides in length. Their secondary structure includes four short double-helical elements and three loops (D, anti-codon, and T loops). RNAcentral also lists the same sequence under 1 other name. Lineage: Bacteria; Candidatus Doudnaibacteriota. The record is from RNAcentral.
GGUGGGUUGUGCCGAAUGGUAAGGCACUGGUUUCGAAAACCAGCGUCCCGCAAGGGACUUGCAGGUUCGAGUCCUGCACCCACCGCCA